GAGGCAGCAGUAGGGAAUCCUCCACAAUGGGCGAAAGCCUGAUGGAGCAACGCCGCGUGAGUGAUGAAGGCCUUCGGGUUGUAAAACUCUGUCAUUCGGGACGAACCGGAGUCUGAGGAAAUGCAGACUCUCUGACGGUACCGGAGGAGGAAGCCCCGGCUAACUACGUGCCAGCAGCCGCGGUAAUACGUAGGGGGCAAGCGUUGUCCGGAUUCACUGGGCGUAAAGCGCGCGCAGGCGGUGAUGUAAGUCUGAGGUGAAAACCCGAAGCUCAACUUCGGGACUGCCUUGGAUACUGCGUCACUUGAGGAUAGGAGAGGCAAGGGGAAUUCCACGUGUAGCGGUGAAAUGCGUAGAGAUGUGGAGGAACACCUGUGGCGAAGGCGCCUUGCUGGCCUAUUUCUGACGCUGAGGCGCGAAAGCGUGGGGAGCAAACAGGAUUAGAUACCCUGGUAGUCCACGCUGUAAACGAUGAGUGCUAGGUGUAGGUGGGCUCAUACCCAUCUGUGCCGAAGCUAACGCAUUAAGCACUCCGCCUGGGGA
Molecule: ribosomal RNA, 543 nt
Filed under: uncultured bacterium
Lineage: Bacteria
Description: bacterial SSU rRNA
Rfam family: Bacterial small subunit ribosomal RNA
Source: RNAcentral